AUGGUUCAAGAUCGAAGUCUUUCAGAUUCGUGCAUGCAGCAGAUCUUGGAUCUUUCUGCUCGGCAUGGAUUCAUACAAGGAUUUCUCACGCUCCAUAACGAACUACACAUCGAGUUACAGAUUCGCCUUCAGCAUUUCAUCAACAAAUUCUUACUCGAAGUGGAAGGCGGUAGAUCCCUGAACAAUUCUUUUGUACAUUGCAUGACUAUCAGUAAGUUUCACACUAACAGAAUGAGAAACGUAAACUAUCGCGCAAGACGUAUUCAACCAUUUUGA
Non-coding RNA from Vicia faba (fava bean), 276 nucleotides. Lineage: Eukaryota; Viridiplantae; Streptophyta; Magnoliopsida; Fabales; Fabaceae. The record is from the annotation of a GenBank genome assembly.